UACGAAGGGGGCUAGCGUUGUUCGGAUUUACUGGGCGUAAAGCGCACGUAGGCGGUUUGUUAAGUGAGAGGUGAAAUCCCAGAGCUCAACUCUGGAACUGCCUUUCAUACUGGCAAGCUAGAGUCCGGAAGAGGUAAGUGGAACUCCUAGUGUAGAGGUGGAAUUCGUAGAUAUUUAGGAAGAACACCAGUGGCGAAGGCGGCUUACUGGUCCGGAACUGACGCUGAAGGUGCGAAAGCGUGGGGAGCAAACAGG
Molecule: ribosomal RNA, 255 nt
Filed under: uncultured bacterium
Lineage: Bacteria
Description: partial 16S ribosomal RNA
Rfam family: Bacterial small subunit ribosomal RNA
Source: RNAcentral